UGAUGUGUCAGUUAGGCAAUGGAAAUAGACGACGAUUAACAGACAAGAAGAAAGCCACCUUACCAGGCCUCCACAUCAUCUCUAGAACACUAGUACUGAAUCCCAACUUCCUGCUGGAAAGAAUGGUGACAUUCACAGCCAUUCAAUUUGACUGAACUUAAGAGGUCUUUUGUGGUUCAACUGCAAGACCAGGAAAAGAAAGCAAUGUGAGGAGAGCCAUAGCCUCCAACAAUGGCAUGGGGUAAGACAGUCAUCUUUGAAAUGCCACCAAUCUACACGAAUGAUCAUAGAAACAGAAUGAAAACAUACCAUCAUUAGCAAAUUCUGUAUUAAAGAAAUCCACAGAGAAACAUCUGCUUUAUGCCAUCGGAGAUGCCAGAGAGAUCUGCAGAGCACAAUUGAGAGAUGGUGACUGUUUAUUGAGACAGAGAAUACCUGGGCUUUCUCUACCACUCUCGAUGGUUUUCUUUUUCUAUAUUCAGAGACAAACAAGUCUCCCAAAUGACAUUCUGGGAGACAUAAAUGUGCUAUCUCACAAAGCACCAACUGUGUUUGUAGCUGGGGCCAACCUGAAAUCCCUGCACUGGGAUUUCAUUGCUGAACAUUUCUGUGUCCUCUGGAGGUUUGUUUGAGGACAAAGAAUAUAUUUAUUGACCUUUUACCUUUUCAGUGACUUAAUGAAUAACUAAGGCAAUGAUGAGACUCUAAGUCUGAGAGUGUUGGAAGAGACAUGGGAUUUACCCUUUGCUCGCCUGUUGGUGUAUCUGCUCUGAAAAGCAGCAAAUUGCAAGUAGUUAUUGCCUCAUGUGACCUCCAGAUGUUAGCCAUACAAUCAGCAGAACCAGCCUCCGACAAGCACAGCAAAAUGAGUGUUAGCAUAUAUGAUUAUUUCA
This is a non-coding RNA of Peromyscus maniculatus bairdii (prairie deer mouse), 893 nucleotides long. The record is from RefSeq and is a predicted model, not a curated record. NCBI's taxonomy places the organism in Eukaryota, Metazoa, Chordata, Mammalia, Rodentia, Cricetidae.